GACGAACGCUGGCGGCGUGCUUAACACAUGCAAGUCGAACGGAACUGCCCUGCUUUUGUUGGGUGCUCGAGUGGCUAACGGGUGUUUAACACGUGAGUCACCUGCCCUUGACUUUGGGAUAACUUCCUGCAACUGGGGCUAAUACCGGAUAGGAUCUCCUGCUGCAUGGUGGGGGUUGGACAGUUUCGGCGGUUGGGGAUGGACUCGCGGCUUAUCAGCUUGUUGGUGGGGUAGUGGCUUACCAAGGCUUUGACGGGUAGCCGGCCUGAGAGGGUGACCGGCGACAUUGGGACUGAGAUACGGCCCAGACUCCUACGGGAGGCAGCAGUGGGGAAUAUUGCACAAGGGGCGGAAGCAUGAUGCAGCAACGCCGCGUGCGGGAUGACGGCAUUAGGGUUGGAAACAGAUUUCGCCUGUGACGAAGCGUGAGUGACGGUAAUGGGUAAAGAAGCAACGGAUAACUACGUG
RNAcentral lists this ribosomal RNA (468 nucleotides) under uncultured bacterium. RNAcentral's name for it is "partial 16S ribosomal RNA". It matches the Rfam family "Bacterial small subunit ribosomal RNA", at positions 28 to 507 of the family's 1533-position model. The record is from RNAcentral.